Molecule: ribosomal RNA, 118 nt
Filed under: Pteropus alecto (black flying fox)
Lineage: Eukaryota; Metazoa; Chordata; Mammalia; Chiroptera; Pteropodidae
Source: RNAcentral
GUCUACGGCCAUACUACCUUGAACAAGCCUGAUCCCGCUUAUCUCAGAAGCUAAGCAGGAUCGGGCCUGGUUAGUACUUGGAUGGGAGACCACCUAGGAAAACCAAGUGCUGUAGGUG